GAAAAGAAAUCAACCGAGAUUCCCCCAGUAGCGGCGAGCGAACGGGGAGCAGCCCAGAGCCUGAAUCAGUGUGUGUGUUAGUGGAAGCGUCUGGAAAGGCGUGCGAUACAGGGUGACAGCCCCGUACACAAAAAUGCACAUAUUGUGAGCUCGAUGAGUAGGGCGGGACACGUGGUAUCCUGUCUGAAUAUGGGGGGACCAUCCUCCAAGGCUAAAUACUCCUGACUGACCGAUAGUGAACCAGUACCGUGAGGGAAAGGCGAAAAGAACCCCGGCGAGGGGAGUGAAAAAGAACCUGAAACCGUGUACGUACAAGCAGUGGGAGCACGCUUAGGCGUGUGACUGCGUACCUUUUGUAUAAUGGGUCAGCGACUUAUAUUCUGUAGCAAGGUUAACCGAAUAGGGGAGCCGAAGGGAAACCGAGUCUUAACUGGGCGUUAAGUUGCAGGGUAUAGACCCGAAACCCGGUGAUCUAGCCAUGGGCAGGUUGAAGGUUGGGUAACACUAACUGGAGGACCGAACCGACUAAUGUUGAAAAAUUAGCGGAUGACUUGUGGCUGGGGGUGAAAGGCCAAUCAAACCGGGAGAUAGCUGGUUCUCCCCGAAAGCUAUUUAGGUAGCGCCUCGUGAAUUCAUCUCCGGGGGUAGAGCACUGUUUCGGCAAGGGGGUCAUCCCGACUUACCAACCCGAUGCAAACUGCGAAUACCGGAGAAUGUUAUCACGGGAGACACACGGCGGGUGCUAACGUCCGUCGUGAAGAGGGAAACAACCCAGACCGCCAGCUAAGGUCCCAAAGUCAUGGUUAAGUGGGAAACGAUGUGGGAAGGCCCAGACAGCCAGGAUGUUGGCUUAGAAGCAGCCAUCAUUUAAAGAAAGCGUAAUAGCUCACUGGUCGAGUCGGCCUGCGCGGAAGAUGUAACGGGGCUAAACCAUGCACCGAAGCUGCGGCAGCGACGCUAUGUGUUGUUGGGUAGGGGAGCGUUCUGUAAGCCUGUGAAGGUGUACUGUGAGGUAUGCUGGAGGUAUCAGAAGUGCGAAUGCUGACAUAAGUAACGAUAAAGCGGGUGAAAAGCCCGCUCGCCGGAAGACCAAGGGUUCCUGUCCAACGUUAAUCGGGGCAGGGUGAGUCGACCCCUAAGGCGAGGCCGAAAGGCGUAGUCGAUGGGAAACAGGUUAAUAUUCCUGUACUUGGUGUUACUGCGAAGGGGGGACGGAGAAGGCUAUGUUGGCCGGGCGACGGUUGUCCCGGUUUAAGCGUGUAGGCUGGUUUUCCAGGCAAAUCCGGAAAACUAAGGCUGAGGCGUGAUGACGAGGCACUACGGUGCUGAAGCAACAAAUGCCCUGCUUCCAGGAAAAGCCUCUAAGCAUCAGGUAACAUCAAAUCGUACCCCAANCUAAGGCUGAGGCGUGAUGACGAGGCACUACGGUGCUGAAGCAACAAAUGCCCUGCUUCCAGGAAAAGCCUCUAAGCAUCAGGUAACAUCAAAUCGUACCCCAAACCGACACAGGUGGUCAGGUAGAGAAUACCAAGGCGCUUGAGAGAACUCGGGUGAAGGAACUAGGCAAAAUGGUGCCGUAACUUCGGGAGAAGGCACGCUGAUAUGUAGGUGAAGUCCCUCGCGGAUGGAGCUGAAAUCAGUCGAAGAUACCAGCUGGCUGCAACUGUUUAUUAAAAACACAGCACUGUGCAAACACGAAAGUGGACGUAUACGGUGUGACGCCUGCCCGGUGCCGGAAGGUUAAUUGAUGGGGUCAGCGCAAGCGAAGCUCUUGAUCGAAGCCCCGGUAAACGGCGGCCGUAACUAUAACGGUCCUAAGGUAGCGAAAUUCCUUGUCGGGUAAGUUCCGACCUGCACGAAUGGCGUAAUGAUGGCCAGGCUGUCUCCACCCGAGACUCAGUGAAAUUGAACUCGCUGUGAAGAUGCAGUGUACCCGCGGCAAGACGGAAAGACCCCGUGAACCUUUACUAUAGCUUGACACUGAACAUUGAGCCUUGAUGUGUAGGAUAGGUGGGAGGCUUUGAAGUGUGGACGCCAGUCUGCAUGGAGCCGACCUUGAAAUACCACCCUUUAAUGUUUGAUGUUCUAACGUUGACCCGUAAUCCGGGUUGCGGACAGUGUCUGGUGGGUAGUUUGACUGGGGCGGUCUCCUCCUAAAGAGUAACGGAGGAGCACGAAGGUUGGCUAAUCCUGGUCGGACAUCAGGAGGUUAGUGCAAUGGCAUAAGCCAGCUUGACUGCGAGCGUGACGGCGCGAGCAGGUGCGAAAGCAGGUCAUAGUGAUCCGGUGGUUCUGAAUGGAAGGGCCAUCGCUCAACGGAUAAAAGGUACUCCGGGGAUAACAGGCUGAUACCGCCCAAGAGUUCAUAUCGACGGCGGUGUUUGGCACCUCGAUGUCGGCUCAUCACAUCCUGGGGCUGAAGUAGGUCCCAAGGGUAUGGCUGUUCGCCAUUUAAAGUGGUACGCGAGCUGGGUUUAGAACGUCGUGAGACAGUUCGGUCCCUAUCUGCCGUGGGCGCUGGAGAACUGAGGGGGGCUGCUCCUAGUACGAGAGGACCGGAGUGGACGCAUCACUGGUGUUCGGGUUGUCAUGCCAAUGGCACUGCCCGGUAGCUAAAUGCGGAAGAGAUAAGUGCUGAAAGCAUCUAAGCACGAAACUUGCCCCGAGAUGAGUUCUCCCUGACCCUUUAAGGGUCCUGAAGGAACGUUGAAGACGACGACGUUGAUAGGCCGGGUGUGUAAGCGCAGCGAUGCGUUGAGCUAACCGGUACUAAUGAACCGUGAGGCUUAACCU
Molecule: ribosomal RNA, 2793 nt
Filed under: Escherichia coli
Lineage: Bacteria; Pseudomonadati; Pseudomonadota; Gammaproteobacteria; Enterobacterales; Enterobacteriaceae
Description: bacterial LSU rRNA
Rfam family: Bacterial large subunit ribosomal RNA
Source: RNAcentral